CAAUAGCAUAUAUUAAAGUUGUUGCGGUUAAAAAGCUCGUAGUUGGAUUUCUGCAUGGAUGGAGCGGUCCACCCUUUGGGUGAGUUACUGCUACCUUUUGUGCAUCUUCCUGAGAAGGCGUUCUUCACUUCAUUGUGAAGCCGCAUGACUCAGGACGUUUACUUUGAGGAAAUGAGAGUGUUUCAAGCAUGCAAAUGCCUUGAAUACGGUAGCAUGGAAUAAUAGCAUCAGACCAUCGUCCAGCUGCUGGUGUCUGGGCGAAAGUAAAGGUGAAUAGGCAUUGUUGGGGGCAUUCGUAUUUAACUGUCAGAGCUGAAAUUCUUGGAUUUGUUGAAGACGGACUACUGCGAAAGCAACUGCCAAAGAUGUUCUCAUUGAUCAAGAACGAAUGUUAGGUGAUCGAAGACGAUCAGAUACCGU
This 420-nucleotide ribosomal RNA is filed under the name uncultured eukaryote. RNAcentral's name for it is "SSU rRNA". It matches the Rfam family "Eukaryotic small subunit ribosomal RNA", at positions 592 to 1018 of the family's 1831-position model. The record is from RNAcentral.